GACGAACGCUGGCGGCGUGCUUAACACAUGCAAGUCGAGCGGUAAGGCCCUUUCGGGGGUACACGAGCGGCGAACGGGUGAGUAACACGUGGGUGACCUGCCCUCAGCUCUGGGAUAAGCCUGGGAAACCGGGUCUAAUACCGGAUAUGACUCCAUGACGCAUGUUGUGGGGUGGAAAGCCUUGUGCGGCUGAGGAUGGGCCCGCGGCCUAUCAGCUUGUUGGUGGGGUGAUGGCCUACCAAGGCGACGACGGGUAGCCGGCCUGAGAGGGCGACCGGCCACACUGGGACUGAGACACGGCCCAGACUCCUACGGGAGGCAGCAGUGGGGAAUCUUGCGCAA
Molecule: ribosomal RNA, 342 nt
Filed under: uncultured bacterium
Lineage: Bacteria
Description: bacterial SSU rRNA
Rfam family: Bacterial small subunit ribosomal RNA
Source: RNAcentral